This is a long non-coding RNA of Cydia splendana, 445 nucleotides long. RefSeq lists it as uncharacterized. The record is from RefSeq and is a predicted model, not a curated record. Lineage: Eukaryota; Metazoa; Arthropoda; Insecta; Lepidoptera; Tortricidae. The transcript has 2 exons.
CAUUUGAGCCAGUAAAUUGUACAAGUACCAAUUAUUCUCUCCGCUGAACUCCAGUUUAUAUAUAAUAAAAUAAUUUUAUUUGUUUCAUUUGAUUUGGAUUCUUCGUCCCACCAUGGUUUUCAAGAACUUCAAGUUAUUCCUUGUUGCGUUGAUCUUCGCAACAGCGCUGGCUGUGGUAGCAGGGCAGGACGGGCCAACGUUCAACGAACUCUCAAGAUUGCUCCCACCAAAAGAUCUGGAAGACAAAUUUGUCUGCGGCCCUGGAAAGCAUCUGGACGAGAAGGGAGUAUGUCAACCAAAUACGUCAUAAGGGUAACGAGGGAAACAAUGUGAGCUUUGAGGGAGAGCUUUGAUUGUUUUUGUUUAGUUACUACUAACUAAACUUCCUUUAUUGUUCUGCUAUUGUGUUUUGUUUAAAAUUUAAAUACAACCUUUAUGACUUCUC